RNAcentral lists this long non-coding RNA (402 nucleotides) under Mus spicilegus (steppe mouse). Its description in RNAcentral is "lncRNA (ENSMSIG00000027419.1)". The record is from RNAcentral. Lineage: Eukaryota; Metazoa; Chordata; Mammalia; Rodentia; Muridae.
CCAAAGUCUCCCUGGGUCCAGCCCAAAAUGAGGGAGAGAGGCACACUCUAGAAGGUGCCAUCUAUCAUCAUCUGCCUGACAUGCCUAGGCUAAAGAGAUGUGAGAAGCAGAAUUUCACAAAACACGAGCUACAUCGCCUCAUCUCAUCACUUCCUGACCGGCCAGCGGAAGCCAUGUGCACACAUCUCCAAACACAGGCACCCAGUCAACCUCCUCAGAUGCAAAGGAUCCAUUUUCUUUGAGAAGUGGAAGGAGGAAGUAGAGGUGUGACCAAGGAGGAAGUAGAGUUCUGAAGUCAGAAGAUCUGAUGAUUUUCAGAAGUCUUGUCUCUGCUUUGCCUGGACACUGGGCUGAUGGUGAUGCUGUGUGAACAUGACCACAAAGCAAGUUGUCUUUAUAAAU